GUAUCAAUCCUCUUUAUAUAGACUAAGCGUAUCUCCUCCACCCCACGCCACCAAUCUAAGCCAAUUAAAUACCAAAUUAUCUGAUUGAUUCCACAGAUCUCUUCUCUGAGAAGUCCCACCCCGUCAUGAUACGUAUGAAUCUGCCAUACGAUCAAUACCUUCCAAAGUCGGAGCAAAGCAGAUCUGUAAUUCUUUUCCUUAAUCUCCAACCCAACUACUUCCCCUAUCUGGUUUAGAAUCACACGUUGGAGGUUCCGUAGUUGAGAUACUAUCGACCAAACUUCGAAGAAACAAACUCGAGAGCUAGCUCGCAAUAAAUACCAAAAUCCCACAAUUCCCAAUUUUCCAUUUUUUCCGAGAUCUCGUUGGAUCUCAAUCGUAUCUGUAGUAUCAGAUCCU
This 399-nucleotide long non-coding RNA is filed under the name Brassica rapa (field mustard). RNAcentral's name for it is "long non-coding RNA (BRAP_LNC000352)". The record is from RNAcentral. Lineage: Eukaryota; Viridiplantae; Streptophyta; Magnoliopsida; Brassicales; Brassicaceae.